UGAACCGACGUAAGCAGAGGAUGAACGC
RNAcentral lists this small RNA (28 nucleotides) under Bombyx mori (domestic silkworm). RNAcentral's name for it is "piRNA piR-bmo-1559616". The record is from RNAcentral. Lineage: Eukaryota; Metazoa; Arthropoda; Insecta; Lepidoptera; Bombycidae.